This 380-nucleotide unclassified non-coding RNA is filed under the name uncultured bacterium. RNAcentral's name for it is "contains 16S-23S intergenic spacer region". The record is from RNAcentral.
UCACGUCUUACGACGGCAGUUUCAGUAGAGUUCCCAGCGUUACCUGAUGGCAACUACUGAUGGGGGUUGCGCUCGUUGCGGGACUUAACCCAACACCUCACGGCACGAGCUGACGACAGCCAUGCAGCACCUUACUGGCGGUGUAUUGCUACAAAGAGAGCUUUCACCCUCGAUCCCCCAGCAUUCUAGCCCAGGUAAGGUUCCUCGCGUAUCAUCGAAUUAAAGAACAUGCUCCGCUGCUUGUGCGGGCCCCCGUCAAUUCUUUUGAGUUUUAGCCUUGCGGCCGUACUCCCCAGGCGGGACACUUAACGCGUUAACUGCGGCACAGAGGGAUUCGACUCCCCCCACACCUAGUGUCCAUCGUUUACGGCUAGGACUAC